This 73-nucleotide transfer RNA is filed under the name Streptococcus agalactiae. RNAcentral describes it as "tRNA-Lys". It matches the Rfam family "tRNA". From Rfam's summary of the family: Transfer RNA (tRNA) molecules are approximately 80 nucleotides in length. Their secondary structure includes four short double-helical elements and three loops (D, anti-codon, and T loops). Further hydrogen bonds mediate the characteristic L-shaped molecular structure. tRNAs have two regions of fundamental functional importance: the anti-codon, which is responsible for specific mRNA codon recognition, and the 3' end, to which the tRNAs corresponding amino acid is attached (by aminoacyl-tRNA synthetases). tRNAs cope with the degeneracy of the genetic code in two manners: having more than one tRNA (with a specific anti-codon) for a particular amino acid; and 'wobble' base-pairing, i.e. permitting non-standard base-pairing at the 3rd anti-codon position. Lineage: Bacteria; Bacillati; Bacillota; Bacilli; Lactobacillales; Streptococcaceae. The record is from RNAcentral.
GACUCGUUAGCUCAGUUGGUAGAGCAAUUGACUUUUAAUCAAAGGAUCACUGGUUCGAGCCCAGUACGGGUCA